AUGGGGUGACUGCGUACCUUUUGUAUAAUGGGUCAGCGACUUAUAUUCUGUAGCAAGGUUAACCGUAUAGGGGAGCCGUAGGGAAACCGAGUCUUAACUGGGCGAAUGAGUUGCAGGGUAUAGACCCGAAACCCGGUGAUCUAUCCAUGGGCAGGUUGAAGGUUGGGUAACACUAACUGGAGGACCGAACCGACUAAUGUUGAAAAAUUAGCGGAUGACUUGUGGAUGGGGGUGAAAGGCCAAUCAAACCGGGAGAUAGCUGGUUCUCCCCGAAAGCUAUUUAGGUAGCGCCUCGUGAAUUCAUCUUCGGGGGUAGAGCACUGUUUCGACUAGGGGGUCAUCCCGACUUACCAACUCGAUGCAAACUGCGAAUACCGAAGAAUGUUAUCACGGGAGACACACGGCGGGUGCUAACGUCCGUCGUGAAGAGGGAAACAACCCAGACCGCCAGCUAAGGUCCCAAAGUCAUGGUUAAGUGGGAAACGAAGUGGGAAGGCUCAGACAGCCAGGAUGUUGGCUUAGAAGCAGCCAUCAUUUAAAGAAAGCGUAAUAGCUCACUGGUCGAGUCGGCCCGCGCGGAAGAUGUAACGGGGCUAAACCAUGCACCGAAGCUGCGGCAGCGACACGUAGUGUUGUUGGGUA
This 642-nucleotide ribosomal RNA is filed under the name Staphylococcus sp. HMSC13A10. RNAcentral's name for it is "bacterial LSU rRNA". It matches the Rfam family "Bacterial large subunit ribosomal RNA", at positions 588 to 1230 of the family's 2925-position model. The record is from RNAcentral. Lineage: Bacteria; Bacillati; Bacillota; Bacilli; Caryophanales; Staphylococcaceae.